Molecule: long non-coding RNA, 3214 nt
Filed under: Theobroma cacao (cacao)
Lineage: Eukaryota; Viridiplantae; Streptophyta; Magnoliopsida; Malvales; Malvaceae
Description: long non-coding RNA (TCAC_LNC001282)
Source: RNAcentral
CCAUUUCUCAUUCAUAUGGCCAGCCAAAGAAGAACAAAGGAGGAAAGGAAAAAAACAAGAACCCUAGGUGGGAAAAUUGAAGAAAAAGUGUGGGAUUUCAAGGGAUUAAGCUAAUAAAGGUAAAAUUUCUUAAUUUUGACUUGUGAUUUACACUACCCAUGCUUUCUUUUUCAUUUUCCAUGGUUAGAUUUCAUGUUUUUAUGGUGAAUUCAUGGCUGGUUGGAAUGGGUAUGGAGAGAGAAUGAAGUUGGAUUGAUUUGAUUCUAAGUUAUGUUAGUGUUUUUAGUUAGUUUAUCAUGUCUAGAAACAAACCAACAAGAAAAAUUCAUUUUCUCCCAUUACCCAUCAUUGGCCAAAUUUUCUAGGGAGGAUAUUGUGGCUGAAAUUGAUGAUAUUUUAUGAUAUUUUGGUGGUAUUUGAUGUUUGGUGAGGCUAGAAAUUAAAUGGGAAAUUUUGGUGGGAAAAUCUGAAUUUUUGCUUAACGUAUAGACAUGUGUGAUUAUUGACCCGAGACUGAUAAAUUGAAUCUCAUUCACAGUCACUGAGGUAAUUUAGGUAUAAUUGGAGUAUAGAAAGUGACAAGAAUUGAUUUGGAGUUAAAUUGGAGAUUUUAGCCGGUUAGGCCGAGUAUAGUGUGACUUAGGUUGAAUAUCACAUUUAAGUGAUUAAUCAGACAUUUUGCAUCCCAUCGCAUGCAUUCAUUUAGAAUUAGAGAGCCUGAAAUAGUUUAUGAUAAAUUGACACAAUUUAUUGAAAUUCGUGUCACGUAUAAUGUAUAGGUAGUGAGCCUUCAAACAAGGGUAAAGAGAUUGUGCCCGAAGACUGAGAAUAGGAGUAUAUCGAACUCCUAGUACUGUGAGUAACCUUAUUAUCAUUUUUAUUAUCUAAAGUACAUCUUAAUUCGAUUUUGGUGAAAUUUUAUGAAAUGAGUUAAAUGACAAAUUUUAGGUUUUAUAAACAAAAAUGAGUUUAAAUAAAAAGAUUUUAUAAAUUGUUUUGGAAACUGAAUGAUGAUUUUGAAAAUAGAGUAAUUGGAGACCACUGAUAUACUGUAAAUUUAAGAUUGAAUUGAUGGCUUAUGUUAUUGUGUUCGCAUGACUGACUGGGCUGUGUUUUAUGAAUUGUAUGAAUUGUUUUAUUUUACCCUUGUAGGCUGGGUAGUAAUAUAUUAGCCCUGUCAUGCUGUCAAGAUUUUAUUGUAUGGUGGGUUUAGCUUACUGUAGUAGGUGGGUUUCCGUGGACUAGCUUAUUAGAGGGGCACAGUAAACCCCGUUAUAUUUUACCUCGGUUGGAGAGGCGAGUAAGGUAACUCCCGAGGUAUGAUUUUAGAGUUCACUUCAUACCAAACCACCACGUGAAGGUGAGCUCGGCCAAACGCCAAGGAACGACUAUAUUUUCAAAAUGAAUACAUGUUUUAUGAGUACAUGACUUUCUAAUAGCCUUGGCGGACUCAGUUAGGAUAGCCCUCGGCCAAGGUAUCUCAGAUAACUGAGUAUGAUAAUAAUUUUUGGCAUAAGCCAAGCUUUUUAAGAAAUUCAUAAGCCAUACUGAUUACUUGAUUUAAAUAAAUUGAUUUCAUUUGGUUGAAAUAAGUUGAAAAAUGAUAAAUUACAGUUUGAUGAAAUGUUUAAUAGUCUCAUUUUACUCACUUUUAGAUAUUUUAAAUGAUAUUUGUUUACUCAUUGGGAUUUUAUAAUCUCACCACCCUCAUUUCCACCCAUUUCAGGCAUCAGGAUAGUCGGUAAAUAACUCAUUUCAUCGAGGACUACAAUUGGAUUGACAUCCUCAAAAUAUGUAGGUUCAAUUCUUUUGACACUUUUAAUCGCUUGUGGGCCCACGUGUCACUGUAAAUUUAAUUUUAUACUUUGGUUAUCUAUAUUACAAUAUAUAUGAAUCUAUUUUGCUUUUUCUCUGUAAAAAUUAUUUACGCAGUGUUCUAAAAAUAUUGUUUUAUGAAAAAAUUGAAUAUUUUAUUCUAUAACUUUAUUAUAUUCAAAUAGUUAUAAUUUUAUUUUAAAUGAAAGUUUUAGACGUUUAAAUUUAUUUUUGAUUAUGAAUUAUGUGUUUUAUACUUGCAUACUACAUUUUUAACUAGUUUCGAAACUUUUAAGGAAAAAUGACCAAAAUGCCCCUAUGAGACAUAAAUCAUUUUUUUAUUGAUUACAGUUGGAAAUAGCUUAAAUUCUUUUAGAACAUGAUAAUUGGUAACGGUUGCUCAUUAGGAAAAAGAGAAACUGAUAUUAAAGCCUUGCGGGGUUUCGGUUGAUAAUCUGGAUAAUGAGUGUCGAUCGGGAUAACGAGGUGAUUGUCACAGGCUCGAUGGGAGUUCCGGGUUGUGACAAUUACUCUUUUACAAUAAGCUAAUGUUAAACAAUAAAUACUAAGCAUUAUUCCCUUACAUUUAUUUGAACUUAACAUAUGCUAAAUUCAUUUUAUCUAAUUUUAAGAUGCCAUAUAGCUCACCUUCGGCAUGAUGAAAAGCCUUAAGUUUGCUAUGUGAAUGGCCUUGGUUAGAUAAGAAAUCCGCUGCUUGAUUACCCUUACGAUGGAUAUAAGUGAUUCAGUAGUUGAAAUGUUGUAAACAGUUUUAAAUAUAGGCAAAAAUGUACCAAAUAUCAUAAGAUCCAUGAGUACCUUGGGCUAUCAUAUGGACAACCACCUUUGCAUCCAUUUCAAUCCAUAAAGUGUGAACAUUGUAAUCCUGACAUAGAAAGAGACCUCUUUGAAGAGCAAGUAAUUAAGCUUUCAUUGGAUGUUGUGCACCAAAAUUUUUAGAGAAGCCAAAAAUAAGUUUACCUGUAUUAUCUCUCGCUACACCUCCUCUUGCUGCAUUUUGACAAUUAUCUCUCGAACUUCCAUCUACAUUCAAUUUAAUUUCAGACCUACCUAGUGUCAACCAUGUGAUUAUUUGUGGCGGAAUGGGGGCAGGUUGAUUCUGCAAGGAAACAUUCCACAACUUCCAUCUACAUGUCCCUUUUCCAUUGUCGCUUGCAUAUAAGAUCUCCUUUAUGAAGCUGCAUCAACAACUUCAUGAUCCACUGUAUAAUUUGUUAUUGAUAAACACCUAAUUACCUGUGCUUAGAAUCAUUCCUUUCAACCCAUAAAAACCAAUAUAUAAAUAUUGGUAAUAAAACAUGAAUAUGUCUUGACUUUGUAAAGCUGCUUGAGUAAUACCAAGCCCAUAAGAUAUACAAAAUAUUACGUGGUUGUUCAA